RNAcentral lists this ribosomal RNA (424 nucleotides) under uncultured Nitrosomonas sp. Its description in RNAcentral is "bacterial SSU rRNA". It matches the Rfam family "Bacterial small subunit ribosomal RNA", at positions 207 to 622 of the family's 1533-position model. Lineage: Bacteria; Pseudomonadati; Pseudomonadota; Betaproteobacteria; Nitrosomonadales; Nitrosomonadaceae. The record is from RNAcentral.
CAAGACCUUGCGCUGAAGGAGCGGCCGAUGUCUGAUUAGCUUGUUGGUGAGGUAAAGGCUUACCAAGGCAACGAUCAGUAGUUGGUCUGAGAGGACGGCCAACCACACUGGGACUGAGACACGGCCCAGACUCCUACGGGAGGCAGCAGUGGGGAAUUUUGGACAAUGGGCGAAAGCCUGAUCCAGCCAUGCCGCGUGAGUGAAGAAGGCCUUCGGGUUGUAAAGCCCUUUCAGUCGGAAAGAAGAGAUCAUGACUAAUACUCAUGAUUCAUGACGGUACCGACAGAAGAAGCACCGGCUAACUACGUGCCAGCAGCCGCGGUAAUACGUAGGGUGCGAGCGUUAAUCGGAAUUACUGGGCGUAAAGGGUGCGCAGGCGGUCUUGCAAGUCGGAUGUGAAAGCCCCGGGCUUAACCUGGGAAUU